GAUCUGGUGGUGAAAGGCAUCACAUCCACAGUGCUUGGGAUAUGGUUGGAAUAGUGUAUUUGUGGGGGUCCCCAGUUCGAAUCUGGGCCAGGUCA
This is a non-coding RNA of Mycena leptocephala, 95 nucleotides long. Lineage: Eukaryota; Fungi; Basidiomycota; Agaricomycetes; Agaricales; Mycenaceae. The record is from the annotation of a GenBank genome assembly.